Molecule: small RNA, 76 nt
Filed under: Novosphingobium marinum
Lineage: Bacteria; Pseudomonadati; Pseudomonadota; Alphaproteobacteria; Sphingomonadales; Sphingomonadaceae
Description: Makes More Granules Regulator RNA (mmgR)
Rfam family: Makes More Granules Regulator RNA (mmgR)
About the family: SuhB later renamed mmgR (makes more granules regulator) was a putative non-coding RNA found multiple times in the Agrobacterium tumefaciens genome and related alpha-proteobacteria. Other non-coding RNAs uncovered in the same analysis include: speF, ybhL, metA, and serC.
Source: Rfam by way of RNAcentral
CAAUCAGGCCUUACAGGCAUCCUCUCCCAAACUUCAAACGGGCCGGUCUUCGGAUCGGCCCUUUUUUUUGUCCGCG